RNAcentral lists this transfer RNA (73 nucleotides) under Bos taurus (domestic cattle). It matches the Rfam family "tRNA". From Rfam's summary of the family: Transfer RNA (tRNA) molecules are approximately 80 nucleotides in length. Their secondary structure includes four short double-helical elements and three loops (D, anti-codon, and T loops). Further hydrogen bonds mediate the characteristic L-shaped molecular structure. tRNAs have two regions of fundamental functional importance: the anti-codon, which is responsible for specific mRNA codon recognition, and the 3' end, to which the tRNAs corresponding amino acid is attached (by aminoacyl-tRNA synthetases). tRNAs cope with the degeneracy of the genetic code in two manners: having more than one tRNA (with a specific anti-codon) for a particular amino acid; and 'wobble' base-pairing, i.e. permitting non-standard base-pairing at the 3rd anti-codon position. Lineage: Eukaryota; Metazoa; Chordata; Mammalia; Artiodactyla; Bovidae. The record is from Rfam by way of RNAcentral. RNAcentral also lists the same sequence under 4 other names.
UCCCUGGUAGCUCAGAUGGUAAAGAAUCUGCCUGCCAGUGCAGGAGACCCAGGUUCUAUCCCUGGGUAGGGAA